RNAcentral lists this long non-coding RNA (587 nucleotides) under Physcomitrium patens. RNAcentral's name for it is "long non-coding RNA (PPAT_LNC005305)". Lineage: Eukaryota; Viridiplantae; Streptophyta; Bryopsida; Funariales; Funariaceae. The record is from RNAcentral.
AUAGAAAAGUUUCUGGAGUUGCUCUCUAAAUGUAAUGGCAUUAAUAUGGAAAGAUUCUUGGAGUCUUAUAUUUACUAAUUAGAGAGAUUAUUCAAUGAUCAUUAAAUUCCUAUAGAGAGGCUUAAGAUGGUAAGCUAGAACAAUAAAGAGAAGUUUAAUAAAAUUCCCUAAUUGAAGCCUAAGCCAAUUAAAGAAGAUGAUUGGAUUUUGAUUUAUGACAGUAAUUUGAUGUAUCAACAUUCUAUUCUUUUUAAGUUUAUAUGGCAUUGGUUUGGACCAUAUGUGGUGGUUGAAAUGCAGAUUAAUACAAUUUAUUUUCUUUGAGAGUUAGAUUAGAUACCAUUGAAGAUUUAGAGGCUUUUGAACUUCAAUAUUUUGAUGAAUGAUUUAAAAGUAACAUGGCUCUUAAUGACUAUGAUUUUGAUGAUAGAGAUGUUGUGGUCUAAUUCUUUGGCCUAUACUAAAAUAUGUAUAGGAUUAAAGGAGGUGAGUGUCUUCAUACACUUAAUUUAAAUAUAUCAAAAAUAUUUGAAAGGUAAUUAAUUUUAUUUGUAUAAAGAGAUGAAUAUAAUGCUAAUAUAUUUAUA